Molecule: ribosomal RNA, 404 nt
Filed under: Actinomycetes bacterium
Lineage: Bacteria; Bacillati; Actinomycetota; Actinomycetes
Description: Actinobacteria bacterium partial 16S ribosomal RNA
Rfam family: Bacterial small subunit ribosomal RNA
Source: RNAcentral
UGGGGAAUAUUGGACAAUGGGCGCAAGCCUGAUCCAGCCAUGCCGCGUGAGUGAUGAAGGCCCUAGGGUUGUAAAGCUCUUUCACCGGUGAAGAUAAUGACGGUAACCGGAGAAGAAGCCCCGGCUAACUUCGUGCCAGCAGCCGCGGUAAUACGAAGGGGGCUAGCGUUGUUCGGAUUUACUGGGUGUAAAGCGCACGUAGGCGGACUAUUAAGUCAGGGGUGAAAUCCCGGGGCUCAACCCCGGAACUGCCUUUGAUACUGGUAGUCUUGAGUUCGAGAGAGGUGAGUGGAAUUCCGAGUGUAGAGGUGAAAUUCGUAGAUAUUCGGAGGAACACCAGUGGCGAAGGCGGCUCACUGGCUCGAUACUGACGCUGAGGUGCGAAAGCGUGGGGAGCAAACAGG